Molecule: long non-coding RNA, 2677 nt
Organism: Pongo pygmaeus (Bornean orangutan)
Lineage: Eukaryota; Metazoa; Chordata; Mammalia; Primates; Hominidae
Exons: 3
Source: RefSeq, a predicted model, not a curated record
CACCCGCCUCCACCCCGCCCCGAGGAUAGGGCCGAGGUGGGGCGGCUGGGGCGCUGGGAGGUGAAGGAGGAGCAAUGCGCAGAGGCCAGGACGACCCAGGGUCCUACAGCACGGCACCCAGCUCCGGAAAAGGUCACGCGGACAAGUCGCUUCACCUCUCAGAGCCUCAAAGUCCUCAUUCAAAUUAAAAUUCAAAUAUUACGCCUUUGGAAAAUGUUUACAGUUCUGACUCUCCCACAGAAACACAUACCUGUCACCUGCCUCCCACCCCCACAAGGACGCCAGAGUCAGGUCAACCAUCUCUUUCCUGUCAGCCAAGAUGCCAUUUUUCAGGCAAAACUAAAUCCCUUUUGCUUCACGUGACAGUCCAGAAAUGUUUCGUUUUGUUUGUAAAAGCAACCCUGCUUAUCGGCAUCUAACUCUGCUGGGGGCCGGCAUGAGCUACCAGAGAACGAAAACUACGGCCCAACUGACUCCACGAAGCUCACUCAGGACUGAGGAAGUAAAAACGGCAUAACCAGAGGCGCGCCCGACACCCCAGAACAAGCACGGACUAUUCUGGUUUAGGAACAGUCGCGGGGCAGCCCUGGAGUGAGUGUAAGGGGCAGAGCCGCGGGCACCACAAAGUGCGGGGUCGACGGCCGACAGGGAGCGGCCGCGGGGCACGCCCUCCCCGCAAACGCCCGGAAAGUCCGCGGGCGGCCUGCGCGCUCAGGAGACCUGGUCUAGGCGCAGGCCAGGCGCGCAGUGGGGAACCCCGCGGCGGGGACCCAGCGGUGCCUGCCCAGCGGCCCCGGCUCCCAGGUGCGCGUUCAGGACGAGCAGCGUUUCCCGGUCGCGGCGCGGGCACAGCCGGAGGGCCCCGCGCCGUGGGCUGGACUCACUGGCCGACCGCCUGCAGGCCACCGCCCGCGGAUGCCGAGAACCGCAGCUGCACAAGAACCCCCUUGGGAAGCUCAACCUCAGCAGCCUAGGCACUCCCUCCACUCAAUGGCAGAAGGAGGCUUCCUGUUGCCUGGGCUCCCCCACGCCCUGUGGUGGGCACUGAAGCCGCCCCACAGGCCUAUCAGGCACUCACUGCUGCAGGUACGGACAGCUUUCCUGCCUUGCGUGAUCAGCCCCCCACCCCUGCUGCAGGCCUCCUCUCAAGGACUCUGGAUGGAUUCCCCCUACUCUGAACCUGUACUGGUAUUUGUCGUUAAAAAGGUAUCACCGCUGAAAGAGAUGCUUAGAAGACCAUCCCCAUAGUUUAACACUGGUUGCUUUUUUUUUUUUUUUUUGAGACAGUCUUACUCUGUUGCCCAGGCUGGAGUGCAGUGGCUCAACCUCCGCCUCCCAGGUUCAAGCUAUUCUCGUGCCUCAGCCUCCCAAGUAGCUGGGAUUACAGGCAUGCGCCACCAUGCCCAGCUAAAUUUUGUAUUUUUAGUAGAGACAGGGUUUCACCAUGUUGGCCAGGCUGGUUUCAAACACCUGACCUCAAGUGAUCUGCCCGCCUCAGCCUGCCAAAGUGCUGUGAUUACAGGCGUGAGCCACCACGCCCGGACUUUUUUUUUUUUUUUGAAACUUGGUCUUGCUCUGUCACCCAGGCUGGCAUGCAGCAGUGCCAUCACAGCUCACUACAGCCUCGACUUCCUGUGCUCAAGCAAUCCUCCUGCCUCAGCCUCCUGAGUAGCUGGGACCACAGGCACAUACCACCACAGCUAGCUAAAGUUUUGUAUUUUUGGGAGAGAUGGGGAUUUGCCACGUUGCCCAGGCUUUUUUUUUUUUUUCCUAUAAAGAAUAUUCUUGUGGCAAACACUGGUUGUUUCUAAGACGUGGUGUUUCAGAUACUACUUUAACUUUCUUCUCUGUUCUUCUGUUUUUCCCUUUAUUAUUUUUAUUUUUUAAUUGUGGUAAAAUAUAUAUAACAUAAAACUCACCGUCUCAAUUAUUAUUAUUUUUUUGAGACAGGGUCUCACUCUGUCAACCAAGGCUAGAGUACAGUGGUGUGAUCUCAGCUCACUGAAACCUCCACCUCCCAGGUUCAAGUGAUUCUCCUGCCUUAGCCUCCCGAGUAGCUGUGACUACAGGCGCACACCACCAUGCCUGGCUAAUUUUUGUUUUUUUUGUUUUUUUUUUUUUUGGUAAAGAUAGGAUUUCACUGUGUCAGCCAGGCUGGCAUCUCAACUAUUUUUAGUGUACAGUCCAGAGGUGUUAAGUACAUUCACAUUGUUGUACAACCAUCACCACCCCCAUGUCCAGAAAUCUUUUCAUCCUGCACAACCAAAACUUGGUACCCAUAAAAGAAUAAUGCUCUACUCCCUCCUCCCGCAGCCGCUGGCAAUCACCAUUCAACUUUCUGUCUCUACGGAUUUGGUGACUCCAGGUCCCUCAUAGGAAUGAUCACACAGUCCUUUUACUCAGCAUAAUGUCUUUGAGGUAGCACAUACUGUAGCACGUGUCAGAAAUUCUUUCUUUUUAAGGCUGCCUAACAUUCUGUUUUAUGUAUAUACCAUGUUUUUGUUGAUCCACGCAUCUGUUGAUGGACACUUGGGUUGCUUCCACCUUUUAGUUAUUGCAAACAAUGCUGCUAAGAACAUGGGCGCACAAAUAUCUUUUCAAGUCCCUGCUUUCAAUUAUUUUGGGUAUAUAACCAGAAGUGGAAAUACUGGAUCAUAUUAUACUUUUCUUUUUAAGG